Phyllostomus discolor (pale spear-nosed bat) is the source of this 138-nucleotide small nucleolar RNA. RefSeq annotates it as small nucleolar RNA SNORA67. NCBI's taxonomy places the organism in Eukaryota, Metazoa, Chordata, Mammalia, Chiroptera, Phyllostomidae. The record is from RefSeq and is a predicted model, not a curated record. The transcript has a single exon.
AUAUAACAGUAUCUACCUCGCCUAAUAGUGCCCCUCUUCAGGCAAGUAGCAACUUGGAAUAAAAUCUGGCAUGCCUCAGCUUGUUACGGCAGAAGGUCACAUGUAAUUUCCUUUGCCUUCUUUUGGCUCCCUACGUGU